This 429-nucleotide ribosomal RNA is filed under the name Pseudomonadota bacterium. RNAcentral's name for it is "Proteobacteria bacterium partial 16S ribosomal RNA". It matches the Rfam family "Bacterial small subunit ribosomal RNA", at positions 355 to 776 of the family's 1533-position model. The record is from RNAcentral. Lineage: Bacteria; Pseudomonadati; Pseudomonadota.
UGGGGAAUAUUGGACAAUGGGCGAAAGCCUGAUCCAGCCAUGCCGCGUGUGUGAAGAAGGUCUUCGGAUUGUAAAGCACUUUAAGUUGGGAGGAAGGGCAGUAAGCGAAUACCUUGCUGUUUUGACGUUACCGACAGAAUAAGCACCGGCUAACUCUGUGCCAGCAGCCGCGGUAAUACAGAGGAUGCAAGCGUUAAUCGGAAUUACUGGGCGUAAAGCGCGCGUAGGUGGUUCGUUAAGUUGAAUGUGAAAGCCCCGGGCUCAACCUGGGAACUGCAUCCAAAACUGGCGAGCUAGAGUAGGGCAGAGGGUGGUGGAAUUUCCUGUGUAGCGGAGAAAUGCGUAGAUAUAGGAAGGAACACCAGUGGCGAAGGCGACCACCUGGGCUCAUACUGACACUGAGGUGCGAAAGCGUGGGGAGCAAACAGG